RNAcentral lists this transfer RNA (90 nucleotides) under Patescibacteria group bacterium. RNAcentral's name for it is "tRNA-Ser". It matches the Rfam family "tRNA". Rfam says of the family: Transfer RNA (tRNA) molecules are approximately 80 nucleotides in length. Their secondary structure includes four short double-helical elements and three loops (D, anti-codon, and T loops). The record is from RNAcentral.
GGAGAGGUACCGAAGUGGUCAUAACGGAAUCGCCUCGAAAGCGAUAGUCGCUUUAAGCGACCGUGGGUUCGAAUCCCACCCUCUCCGCCA